UACGUAGGGGGCGAGCGUUGUCCGGAAUUACUGGGCGUAAAGGGUGCGUAGGCGGCUAUUUAAGUUGGAUGUGAAAUACCCGGGCUUAACUCGGGGGGUGCAUUCAAAACUGGAUGGCUAGAGUGCAGGAGAGGGAAGCGGAAUUCCUAGUGUAGCGGUGAAAUGCGUAGAUAUUAGGAGGAACACCAGUGGCGAAGGCGGCUUUCUGGACUGUAACUGACGCUGAUGCACGAAAGCGUGGGGAGCAAACAGG
Molecule: ribosomal RNA, 253 nt
Filed under: uncultured bacterium
Lineage: Bacteria
Description: partial 16S ribosomal RNA
Rfam family: Bacterial small subunit ribosomal RNA
Source: RNAcentral